UACGGAGGGUGCGAGCGUUAAUCGGAAUCACUGGGCGUAAAGCGCACGUAGGCGGCUUGGUAAGUCACAUGUGAAAGCCCUCGGCUCAACCGGGGAACUGCGUGUGAUACUGCCUUGCUUGAGUCCUGGAGAGGGUGGCGGAAUUCCCGGUGUAGGAGUGAAAUCCGUAGAUAUCGGGAGGAACACCAGUGGCGAAGGCGGCCACCUGGACAGGUACUGACGCUGAGGUGCGAAAGUGUGGGGAGCAAAC
RNAcentral lists this ribosomal RNA (250 nucleotides) under uncultured bacterium. RNAcentral describes it as "partial 16S ribosomal RNA". It matches the Rfam family "Bacterial small subunit ribosomal RNA", at positions 524 to 773 of the family's 1533-position model. RNAcentral also lists the same sequence under 1 other name. The record is from RNAcentral.